GGGUCUAGCUCAGUGGUAGAGUGCAUGCUUAGCAUGCACGAGGUCCUGGGUUCAAUCCCCAGUAACUCCA
RNAcentral lists this transfer RNA (70 nucleotides) under Camelus ferus (Wild Bactrian camel). It matches the Rfam family "tRNA". Rfam says of the family: Transfer RNA (tRNA) molecules are approximately 80 nucleotides in length. Their secondary structure includes four short double-helical elements and three loops (D, anti-codon, and T loops). The record is from Rfam by way of RNAcentral. Lineage: Eukaryota; Metazoa; Chordata; Mammalia; Artiodactyla; Camelidae.